Small nucleolar RNA from Arachis stenosperma, 124 nucleotides. RefSeq annotates it as small nucleolar RNA snoR127. The record is from RefSeq and is a predicted model, not a curated record. NCBI's taxonomy places the organism in Eukaryota, Viridiplantae, Streptophyta, Magnoliopsida, Fabales, Fabaceae. The transcript has a single exon.
CUGGAAUGAUGCGAAUUAGCCAAAUCAGACGUUGAUGUGCUCCAUAAUUCUGUUUUAUGUUGAAGCGCAUAAUCAAUGUGUGAUGAUCAUCAACGGAGAUUGGUGUAUCUGUUUCCUGACUAGA